This 340-nucleotide ribosomal RNA is filed under the name Clostridioides difficile. RNAcentral describes it as "bacterial SSU rRNA". It matches the Rfam family "Bacterial small subunit ribosomal RNA", at positions 1203 to 1533 of the family's 1533-position model. Lineage: Bacteria; Bacillati; Bacillota; Clostridia; Peptostreptococcales; Peptostreptococcaceae. The record is from RNAcentral.
UAUGCUUAGGGCUACACACGUGCUACAAUGGGUAGUACGGAGGGUUGCCAAGCCGUAAGGUGGAGCUAAUCCCUUAAAGCUACUCUCAGUUCGGAUUGUAGGCUGAAACUCGCCUACAUGAAGCUGAAGUUACUAGUAAUCGCAGAUCAGAAUGCUGCGGUGAAUGCGUUCCCGGGUCUUGUACACACCGCCCGUCACACCACGGGAGUUGGGGACGCCCGAAGCCGAUUAUCUAACCUUUUGGAAGAAGUCGUCGAAGGUGGAAUCAAUAACUGGGGUGAAGUCGUAACAAGGUAGCCGUAUCGGAAGGUGCGGCUGGAUCACCUCCUUUCUAAGGAGA